GACGAACGCUGGCGGCAUGCCUAACACAUGCAAGUCGAACGGAGAUUACUUCGGUAAUCUUAGUGGCGAACGGGUGAGUAACGCGUAGGCAACCUGCCCUCUAGAUGGGGACAACAUCCCGAAAGGGGUGCUAAUACCGAAUGUGACAGCUAUCUCGCAUGAGAAAGCUGUGAAAGAUGGCCUCUAUUCAUAAGCUGUCGCUAGAGGAUGGGCCUGCGUCUGAUUAGCUAGUUGGUGGGGUAACGGCUCACCAAGGCGAUGAUCAGUAGCCGGUCUGAGAGGAUGAACGGCCACAUUGGGACUGAGACACGGCCCAGACUCCUACGGGAGGCAGCAGUGGGGAAUCUUCCGCAAUGGGCGAAAGCCUGACGGAGCAAUGCCGCGUGAGUGAUGAAGGAAUUCGUUCCGUAAAGCUCUUUUGUUAUGACGAACGUGCGAGUUGUGAAUAAUGACUUGUAAUGACGGUAGUAAACGAAUAAGCCACGGCUAACUACGUGCCAGCCGCCGCCGUAA
RNAcentral lists this ribosomal RNA (513 nucleotides) under uncultured bacterium. RNAcentral's name for it is "partial 16S ribosomal RNA". It matches the Rfam family "Bacterial small subunit ribosomal RNA", at positions 28 to 523 of the family's 1533-position model. The record is from RNAcentral.